UGGCCGAUCAAUGCAUGUGCAUCUAUGAAUAGAUUCUUAACAAAUUAUUUCUCUAAACAACUUCUAGUAAUUAAUUUUAUCAUAGAUUUCAUUCCAGUAGGUUAGGGCCCCCACUAAAAGUUCUGGUUAGGUCCAACUAUUAAUAUGACCAUACUCAACCCAUCUAACCAACAAAUGAUCAAGUCCAACUAUGAUCGGUCAACCUGACCAUCCAUCAGAG
Molecule: long non-coding RNA, 220 nt
Filed under: Elaeis guineensis (African oil palm)
Lineage: Eukaryota; Viridiplantae; Streptophyta; Magnoliopsida; Arecales; Arecaceae
Description: long non-coding RNA (EGUI_LNC036652)
Source: RNAcentral